GUGUUUGGUUCUAACGAGGAAUAAAAUUAACUAGAAGAAAUGUCGCAAUAUUUUUAACGACACGUUUUACUUUCGACAAAUUGACACUAGAUUUACCAGAAUAUUACAAGCUGCUUACUGUUUCCUUCAUUUUCAUUCAAGUCACACGAAUUACAAUUAUAGUGAACCAAGGUUUUUAUUGGCAUCGAGUAUUUAAAUUUGGCGCUUGCCUUUGGCGGUUGAGGACUCCAAUGUCAAUAAGGGUGGUUUUGCAAAAUCAGCCUCUAUGUCGCUUCUCUAUGUUCUCUGGUUCUGUGGUCAACAUUGUGCGUCAAAUUUGACAUUUUAGAUGUCUGGUAUUUAAUGAUUUAUUAUUUUUAUUGAAUAGAAAAUGGGCGUUCGAACAAAUAAAUAGAAUAAAUAAUCUUGUGGAAACUGUACACAGGGCACAGGACACAGGGGUGUGGUAUGCUGGUAUGGACACAGUUGCGAGGGCUGCUUUUAUAUGUUGGCGAGAUGAAGGGCUGCAAGGCUAAAAGGUGAAUGCUUCAUGUAGCAUCUUAGGAUUACCAAGUGGUGGAUCAUCAUCAAAGGCGUUAAAGUGACACAGAAGUUUAUCAUCUAUGAUGACAUUACGUGCAACGGCAAAAUAACUACAUGUGUCACAGGUUCCAAGGGAAUUUUAAAGAAGCCGCUGAAGCAGGUUUUUUCAUUGUGCCUGCAAUCACGAGGUGGUCUACCACUGAUGUUCAUCUUACUAUGAAAAGGUUCUCACAAUUACUUCAUUAAUUUCGCUAACAACAAAUAUUUAACCAAAAACAUCAAAGUACUUUUCCCAGGGAAGAUGAAAACAACAGCGUUCAUUUUCUGACUCUUCAAACGGUUCACACUUGGCGAAAAUUGAAGGCAUUGACAAAAUAGUAGAUAUCUUAAUGUUGAAAUAACUUGGUAAAGUGAAUAUAAGCACAAUUCUUUUUUUUUAUUGUUCAAAAUGGUAUUUUCUUCAUGAACUUCAUACCACACUUCAAAUAUUGGUUUCAGUUUCUUAAUAUUCGUCCAAAGUUUAUAUCAGUUUGUUUAACGUUGUCUUACGGACGAGCUGUAUCACAGUAUAGAUAUCAAUCAGUAGGGACAACUCGCUAUUUUUACUGACUCGUUUUCAUGGGUGGUCGUUUGUCUUGUGACCGUAUGAGGGCGCGCAACGCAAGGUAUUUAUCUUUCUUACACAUUGGAACUGCGGUACUUUGGUUAUCUAGUGACUUUAAUAUGAAACAUUUGACAUUUGGCAGUUUAGUUGCGUUGGUUUUGAUGAUAUAAGGCUGAUGUUCUGUGUAAUUAUUGCAGUUAAAUGUAAUUUUCACAGAGACGUUUUAAAAAGCGUUAUUCUCGUUUUCAUAGGACCAUUGUUUACUGUUUGAUUUUUUUGUAAAAAAAAUUAAAUGUGCAUAUGUAUAUUAGCGUUUUCUAGUAACGUUGAAUUUUACAACCAUUUACAGCCAUCAUGGAAAAGAAAUUAAUGAAACGUAAAAUCGUAAUCAGAGAAGCGGGCCACAUCUAAAUUUCAACAUGGCAUCUCUGUUAUAGGGCGCUUAAUUAAUUAUUUAUUAUAAUAGACUGUGUGGUUUCUAAGAUCAACUAGUUACAAAAUGUUAUUGUUAUUACACUAUUUUUAAUUCUUUUCCAAAAAUUCAUUUGCACAAAGUGUAGUAAAUUGUUUACACGAAUCAAUUUUAAAAUGAAGCGUUUGUGAUCCUUUUUAAAUUGGGGGGCGACAUCUAGAAAUAUUUUGGGAAACGACCACCGAUUACGGCUUAAAAUUCAGGUCAGAAAUAUCAAAGGCGCCGACACGAGUUAUCCCUACUGAUUGAUGUCUAUACUGUGGCUGUAUUUGUAAUUUAGGCAACCAAUAUUCCACUUCGUUUCAAAAAUCCCGCCUAAUAAAAACCAAUUUUAACAACAUGCCAAAAGUGGUUAAUCUUUCUUCCGAAAAUACAAAGUUCUUCAUAAAUGGAAGAAGACAAGAUUAAAAAAUAACAAUCAUUAAGUUUAUUCGAAAAAAAAUUGUAUUAUCUUUAACAUUUUUUGGUACCUUUGUAGUGUUUACAUUCUGAUUAAUUAUUGUAAUGUGUAAAGUGUUCGUGAAUAAAAUUAUCUGUUAAUCGUUA
Molecule: long non-coding RNA, 2144 nt
Organism: Zophobas morio
Lineage: Eukaryota; Metazoa; Arthropoda; Insecta; Coleoptera; Tenebrionidae
Exons: 3
Source: RefSeq, a predicted model, not a curated record